This 502-nucleotide ribosomal RNA is filed under the name uncultured Glomeromycotina. Its description in RNAcentral is "partial small subunit ribosomal RNA". It matches the Rfam family "Eukaryotic small subunit ribosomal RNA", at positions 591 to 1092 of the family's 1831-position model. Lineage: Eukaryota; Fungi; Glomeromycota. The record is from RNAcentral.
CCAAUAGCGUAUAUUAAAGUUGUUGCAGUUAAAAAGCUCGUAGUUGAACUUCGGGGUUCACCCAUUGGUCAGGCUUAAUUGUCUGCACUGGUGAGAUGAGUCUCUACCUUCUGAGGAACUUUCAUGCCAUUUAUUUGGUGUGAUUGGAAAUCAGGACUGUUACUUUGAAAAAAUUAGAGUGUUUAAAGCAGGCUAACGUCUGAAUACAUUAGCAUGGAAUAAUGAAAUAGGACGGACUGAUUCUAUUUCGUUGGUUUCUAGGAUCACCGUAAUGAUUAAUAGGGAUAGUUGGGGGCAUUAGUAUUCAAUUGUCAGAGGUGAAAUUCUUGGAUUUAUUGAAGACUAACUACUGCGAAAGCAUUUGCCAAGGAUGUUUUCAUUAAUCAAGAACGAAAGUGAGGGGAUCGAAGACGAUCAGAUACCGUCGUAGUCUUAACCAUAAACUAUGCCGACUAGGGAUCGGAUGAUGUUAAUUUUUUAAUGACUCAUUCGGCGCCUUACG